Molecule: unclassified non-coding RNA, 307 nt
Filed under: plant metagenome
Description: partial contains 5.8S ribosomal RNA, internal transcribed spacer 2, and large subunit ribosomal RNA
Rfam family: 5.8S ribosomal RNA (bases 1-105)
Source: RNAcentral
GAAAUGCGAUAAGUAGUGUGAAUUGCAGAAUUUAGCGAAUCAUCGAAUCUUUGAACGCACAUUGCGCCCCUUGGUAUUCCAUGGGGCAUGCCUGUUCGAGCGUCAUUUCAACCCUCAAGCACUGCUUGGUGUUGGGCGUUUGUCCCGCCUACGCGCGUGGACUCGCCUCAAAGUCAUUGGCAGCUGUUCCCCUUCGGCUCGUAAGCGCAGCACAGUCGGCGCCCGGAGCUCUGGUGGGAUGGCGUCCAGCAAGCUAUAUUUUCAGGCUUGACCUCGGAUCAGGUAAGGAUACCCGCUGAACUUAAGC